RNAcentral lists this ribosomal RNA (447 nucleotides) under uncultured bacterium. RNAcentral describes it as "bacterial SSU rRNA". It matches the Rfam family "Bacterial small subunit ribosomal RNA", at positions 355 to 825 of the family's 1533-position model. The record is from RNAcentral.
UCGGGAAUUUUGGGCAAUGGGGGAAACCCUGACCCAGCAACGCCGCGUGGAGGAUGAAGUAUUUCGGUAUGUAAACUUCGAAAGAAUAGGAAGAAUAAAUGACGGUACUAUUUAUAAGGUCCGGCUAACUCCGUGCCAGCAGCCGCGGUAAGACGGAGGGCGCAAGCGUUGUUCGGAAUUACUGGGCGUAAAGCGCGGGCAGGCGGUCUGUUAAGUCGUUUGUGAAAAUCCGGGGCUCAACCCCGGAAAUGCAUACGAUACUGGCAGGCUGGAGACUGGUAGAGGCUAGCGGAAUUCCUGGUGUAGCGGUGGAAUGCGUAGAUAUCAGGAAGAACACCUGUGGCGAAGGCGGCUAGCUGGGCCAGUUCUGACGCUCAUCCGCGAAAGCGUGGGGAGCAAACAGGAUUAGAUACCCCCGUAGUCCCUGAGCGGGCUGGCAAGGCGCAU